RNAcentral lists this unclassified non-coding RNA (3240 nucleotides) under Hevea brasiliensis (rubber tree). Lineage: Eukaryota; Viridiplantae; Streptophyta; Magnoliopsida; Malpighiales; Euphorbiaceae. The record is from RNAcentral.
UGCUUACAGAAAGAAGGUAUGGGAGUCUCAUUCUUACCUCUUUCCCUUUCACGAAAAGCUUUAUGCUGACUCUAGGUUCAAGUUGGUAAGCAUUGGUGCUCCUUUCAACACUUCUGAGGGUUUCUUGUUUUCCUUGCAACUUCACUUUUGAUCAAUUUAUUGUUACUUUUGGAUGCUAUAUCACACAAUGGGUUGAGAAAAUGCACCCGUGUCAUAUAAUCACCAGUUUCUGUCUCAGCUUACUUUUCAAUCGCACUCUUUGUUUGCAUCUCCUAUUGAUCUCGUGUAAUUAAUUAUCGGCUGAUUAUGCCAGGUUCAGGUGUCUAGCUUACUGCAUCAUAUAUGCUUGAAUUGAAUAUGAUAUCCAAUCGUGCAUCUACCAUCAGUUGUUAACACAAUAUAAUGUAUUUUUUAUUCUGCAUAUUUGCCCUUUUUUGGCACUGGUUUCAAAAAUAACGAACCUAAGGACUUCGCCACAUGAAGAAUCUCUAGGUUUGGUACAGUUGCUUUGAAUUGUAACUACGGUGGAACUGAUUAUAUUUUCUCCUUUCUAGCAGGAAAAUGUUUAAUUAAAUGUUUCAACUAUUCAAAUUAGGGAUUUUCUUCCACAGGAUAUUUUUGUAUCUUUUCCUGCCAUUCAAUGUGUCUAACCUCACUAUGUGCAUUUACUGCACAUUUCAGAAGCUUCUACUUUACCUGCUGCUGGUAAUUUUCUCCUCACGUAUGUUAUGAGAUAGACCAAAGAGUAUCUCCAAGCGAUCAUGUUUUGCAAAAUCCCAAAUGUACUGCAAAAAAGUUAUUGGAUGGGCUGGUAACUCUGAAUUUGAUGCUUAAGAUAUUUGAUUUAUUUAUAUUAUAAGCUAUUAGAAAUAGAUUUUAAACCAGCUAUCAGGUUCUUUUUCCUGUCCAACUGUUGAUAUCUAUCUUGGCUUUGUUGAAUAUGUCAUUUCCCUUAUUUUUGCAUCUUUUUGUUUUUUUAAUCAUUAUUUAUUUUUUUACCAAAAUACCUGUUUCUUUAGUUUUGGUAAUUUGGUCAGGUUUACUUAAGAGUGGCCUCCAAUGGUUUUGAGGAAGAAGCAUAAAUCAACCAAGUCUUGGGGAGUCAUGCAACAGGAAAGUUGCUCUUGGGGAAGGACUUCCAGUGUGUCAAAUUGCCAAAGGCUAUAAAGUUAUUGCUGCUAAUUGCCAAAUGAUUCAAGGGAUGGCCUCACUUCGGUCCACUGGAUAUGUCGAUCCUGGGUGGGAGCAUGGCACUGCUCAAGAUGAAAGAAAAAAGAAGGUCAAAUGCAACUAUUGUGGGAAAGUAGUUAGCGGUGGAAUAUUCAGGUUGAAGCAACAUUUAGCUAGAAUAUCUGGUGAAGUUACUCACUGUGAUAAGGUUCCUGAGGAAGCAUGCUUGAAUAUGAGAAAAAACCUAGAAGGAUGCCGUUCUGGUCAAAAAAGAAGGCGAUCUGAAUAUAAACAAAAAUCUCUGACUUUCCAUCCUGAUGAAUGUGAUGAUAUGGAGGAAGCUCCUAGUAACUACAAAGAGAAAGGCAAGAAAGUGAUGGUUGAUCAGAACUUAGUUGUAAAGUCUGCUCCUCUUCGAUCAUUAGGAUAUGUGGACCCAGGCUGGGAACAUUGUGUUGCACAAGAUGAAAAGAAGAAAAGGGUAAAAUGCAAUUUCUGUGAAAAAAUAAUUAGUGGGGGCAUAAACCGAUUCAAACAGCAUCUAGCCAGGAUCCCUGGAGAAGUUGCCUACUGUGAAAAGGCUCCUGAGGAAGUGUAUCUUAAAAUCAAGGAAAACAUGAAAUGGCACCGUAGUGGCAGAAGGAAUUGGAAACCCAAUACAAAGGAGAUUUCCACUAUCUACAUGCACCAAAAUAAUGAGGAAGAAGAGGAAGAACGGGACGUUGGACUGGUGCAGUGUAUAAGUAAGGAUGUACUGGCCGUUGAUGAUAAAGUUUCAGAUAAUGAUGUCAGAAAUAAUAAGAAGGGAAGAUUCCCUGCUUGUAGUGGCAACAGCAAUGAACCUCUAUUGAAGAAAUCUAGAUUGGAUUCAGUGUUUUUGAAGUCUCUUAAAAGCCAGGCAUCAUCACACCACAAGCAAGUAAAAGCAAAGAUAGGAUUUGAGAAAAAAGCUCGGAAGGAAGUGAUAUCUGCUAUCUGCAAAUUCUUUUAUCAUGCAGGAAUCCCUUCUAAUGCAGCAAAUUCCUCAUAUUUUCACAAAAUGCUGGAGUUAGUUGGCCAAUAUGGGAAAGGUCUGCAAGGUCCUUCAGGCCGACUGAUAUCUGGCCGGUUUCUUCAGGAAGAGAUUGCUACCAUCCAAGAAUACUUAGUGGAACUUAAAGCUUCUUGGCCAAUUACGGGUUGUUCUAUUAUGGCUGAUAGUUGGAAUGAUCUCCAGGGUAGGGCAUUAAUAAACUUUUUGGUCUCUUGUCCUCGAGGUAUAUAUUUUGUUUCUUCCUUUGAUGUCACUGGUAUCAUAGAUGAUGCUGCUAGCCUUUUCAAAUUGUUGGACGAGGUGGUAGAAGAAAUUGGUGAAGAAAAUGUUGUUCAGGUAAUAACUAAAAACACAGACAGUUUUAGGACUGCUGGGAAGAUUCUUGAAGAGAAAAGGAGACAUUUAUUUUGGACACCAUGUGCUGUGCAUUGCAUUGAUGGAAUGCUUGAGGACUUUCUGAAUAUAAAAUGGGUAGGAGAAUGCAUAAAUAAGGGUAAAAAAGUGACAAGGUUUAUUUAUAAUAAUACAUGGCUUUUGACUUUUAUGAAGAAAGAAUACCUAAAGGGACAAGAACUUCUUAGGCCAGCUGUUACAAAGUUUUGCACAAACUUUUUCACUUUAAAAAGUUUGUUGGAUCAAAGAAUUACCCUUAAGAGAAUGUUCCAGUCAAACAAAUGGGUUUCAUCCCAAUUGGCUAAAACAGAUGAGGGUAAAGAAGUAGAGAAAAUAGUCUUAAGUGCCACAUUCUGGAAGAAGAUGCAAUAUGUGAAAAAAUCUUUAGAGCCAAUUGCACAGGUUCUUCAAAAGGUAGAUAGUGAUGAAAGCCAAUCAAUGCCAUUUAUAUAUCAUGACAUGUAUAGAGCUAAGCUUGCAAUUAAAGCAAUCCAUGGGGAUGAUGCACGAAAAUAUGGGCCUUUCUGGAGUGUAUUAGACAUCCACUGGAACUUAUUGUUUCACCAUCCUCUCUAUGUGGCUGCGUACUUUCUCAAUCCAUCAUACCGUUAUCGUCCAGAUUUCAUAAUGAAUCCUGAGGUUAU